Long non-coding RNA from Ctenopharyngodon idella (grass carp), 2777 nucleotides. RefSeq lists it as uncharacterized. The record is from RefSeq and is a predicted model, not a curated record. NCBI's taxonomy places the organism in Eukaryota, Metazoa, Chordata, Actinopteri, Cypriniformes, Xenocyprididae. The transcript is spliced from 3 exons.
UUUUUACAUUCUUUUCCUCUGGCUCGCUGUUGCCAUUACUCACACAUGUUCAUUAGGCUGUUUUAUUGGAUUUUAUGGUUAAAUGUUUAUCUCAGCUGAUUUGAAGGUGUUUUUGUGGACAGUUUUUAGAGCAGAGUGUUUAUGUAGUGGGUCUGUCUGGUGAAAAUGCUUUUGACAGUUCAGGUUGUCCUGCAUGAGAACCACAAUGCUCUGUCAGUCCUCACUGCGGAAUCGUGGGGUCGUAAAUAGUACGUGCAGCAGAGGGGUGAAAAUUUAGAUGUGGUGCGCGUUUUUGCCAAAGCGACCAAACAAGACGGCUUACAAAGUUUACUAAAUAGCACAUGGGGGAUACGAUUAUAUACUAGGAUUUAUGCACUGCGUGGUCAAAUACAAAGAUAGAAGCGUUAACGAAGACAUCCGACGAUUUCACUCCUUUUUCUCAGCGCAUGUUUUAAAAGUAGCUCAGAAAGCAGAGUUUGCACUCCCGCUCGCUCGCUCACUCUUACUCUUGACGUUUCGGUCUUGUUGUCCUGUGCCAAAAACUGUGUACAAUGUGUUUUUAGUGUGUGUAUGCUGGGAUAAAUCACAUCCUAAGCUUAGAGUUGGUUUCUGAUUUAGAUGUACAGUUGAGGGUAUUUGUUUUUAAGAUUUUCUGGUGCGCGGAGACUGAUAUUGUCAUUAUUGUUUUUCUAAAGUGCACAAGCCAUCAAUAUAGGCUAUUUAAAAAAGGGUCAGAGAAUUUUGAACUGUUACACUUUAUCGUGUUUCAACAAGAUCAGUCAGCGUUUGGCAGUAGAGAUGCAAUAGAAAAGUUUGUAUCGUUCGGUUGCUGUCACUUUGUAACAACACGAGCGUAACAGACCUGCACAAGUUUUCUCUCCAGUCAUGUGUUUUUUCUCAGUGUAUAUAUGUGUGAUUGUUGCCAACGUGUUGGGUGUUUCAUAUUAAAAUAAGUUGUUCUCGUCAGAAAUACUCCAUAAUAGAAAGAUGUAGAGAUCCAUGUGGAUAAUCGGACAGAUUUGAAAAGAAGAAAUCGACUAUAUUUAAAGAGGCUAUAAAGUGCUGUUUGGCAUUGAGCAAGUGGCUCAUAAAUCUCUCCGCUGUUUGCGUGUUUUGGGUCCUGAAGUGUUGUGGAUCCUGGAGUGAUCCUAUUCCUGGAGUGAGCACAUUUAUUGGCGUUCAGUUACAUAGGGUAAAAGUGUGAAAUACGAUUUAAUACUUAAGAUGGAAACUGAGAGUAAGAAUGCGAGAUGUAUAAGAGCUCAAGAGUGAGCGCGCGUGAUAUGCCAUAUGAUACUUUUCUGUAUUCGUGAGAAGCUGACGUUCUGUUUAUACGUUGUUAGUGAUUUAAGACAGCUAAAUGCCGGCGAAACUGCCAGAUAUGACUUGAUAUGCGAGUUGCAGGUGUUGUCGUUGUGUUUAGUGCCGCUGAACUUCAGAACGGUCACUGGGUGACAUCUCGUGGACGCAAAACUUCAGGAUUUCUUAAAGGAAAAGGAAAAGUAUUUCAAAACAUGCAAUACUGGCUACAAAAGUUCUUCUGUGGUUGGAAUCCCUAUCCCUUUCCCGGUCAUCUGGGUGAUUUGCCUCCUCACACAAGAGCAUUACAAGAGUCAUGGGCUGAUUAAGCUGCUUUGGCAUCAUGACAGCGCGCGGUCGGGGAUAUUGAUAUUAGGCUAUGUAGGCUCAAAUGGAAACAGAAUCUCUAAUACUGAAUGUUCAACAUGUGAGAAAUGUUCGCCUAACUAUUUAAAGGCGUCCAGUGAAACUAUAUAUUUGUGUCAAGGCGCCAUAUGUGACUGGGAGAGCCGUCUGAGGUGAUUCGUUCAAUAUCUGAACGUAAGACAGCAGAAAAUGUGUUGUCAGAAAAUGAAUCUAUUAAAAAAUAAACUCUUCUACAGUAUUAACCCAAUUCUUGGGUUGUGUUUGUUGUCCAUUCUACUUUGUCUGUUAUUACACUCAUUCCUCAGUAGUGUAUCGGUCCACAGUACUGCACUAAACAGCCUAAUGACAUUUUCCCAUGACUCAUUCGAGUUUAUUCUCCAAACAUAAAAGACUUUAAAAUCGCAGGGAAAGAAGCAAUUUUCUUCAGAAGGCAAAAGCUGUGUAAAUGCACAUUUCGGUGAACUUGGGACAUAAUAAGAUAAAUGUGCAUUUUUCGUGAAUAACCUGAGUUAUUUUAGCUGUUAAAACUUGAUUAAAGUUUCUAUAAAUGUGUUCAGAUAAAAGAUAAUAAUUUUAGGUAGGAUGAAAAAUGAUUCUCAGACCUGACAGAACUACUGCACGUGGAUGGACGUCAGUUCUCUAACUAAAUAUUUUCAUCAUUUGUCGCCACCUACCGGAGAGAGAGAUCUAUGCAUGUAAUUGAUUUUCAGAUUAAAGGGAUAGUUCACUUAAAAAUUAUAAGUCUGUCAUCAUUUACUCACCCUCCUGUUGUCCCAAACCCUAAUGACUUACUUUCUUCAGUGGAACACAAAAGGAGCUGUCAUUCUCCAUAACGUCUCCUUUUGUGUUCCUUUGUCGGAGAAAAAGCAGAGGAGGUACACAUUGACAAAUUUUUGAUGCAUAACUUGAUUAAAGCUUUAUUUUUAACAGACGUUUUGACAUAACUCCCUAAAAAAAGCAAAGAACAACAGCAUUGCCUUUGUUUCUGAAGUUUUCAACAGCUAAUAUAAGCUUUAAAGAUUCCUGUGAUGUUAGAAUAAUACCCAACUUUUCUGAUUUUAGCACGUUGUUCAAUGAGCACCGAUUACAUCAUUCAUGGUUCACUGUUUCUC